UCAGGAUGAACGCUAGCGGCAGGCUUAACACAUGCAAGUCGAGGGGCAGCGGGAUGUAGCAAUACAUUGCCGGCGACCGGCGGAUGGGUGCGUAACGCGUAUGCAACCUACCUUAUACAGGGGAAUAACCUUUCGAAAGGGAGACUAACACCCCAUAGUAUUGAUUUAAGGCAUCUUAGAUUAAUUAAAUAUUUAUAGGUAUAAGAUGGGCAUGCGUAUGAUUAGCUAGUUGGUAAGGUAACGGCUUACCAAGGCGACGAUCAUUAGGGGUCUGAGAGGAAGGUCCCCCACACUGGUACUGAGACACGGACCAGACUCCUACGGGAGGCAGCAGUGAGGAAUAUUGGUCAAUGGGCGCAAGCCUGAACCAGCCAUGCCGCGUGCAGGAAGACGGCCUUAUGGGUUGUAAACUGCUUUUACAUAAGACUAACCGUAUAUUUGCGAAUAUACCUGAAUGUAUUAUGAGAAUAAGGAUCGGCUAACUCCGUGCCAGCCGCGGC
This 500-nucleotide ribosomal RNA is filed under the name uncultured bacterium. RNAcentral's name for it is "bacterial SSU rRNA". It matches the Rfam family "Bacterial small subunit ribosomal RNA", at positions 24 to 518 of the family's 1533-position model. The record is from RNAcentral.